This 236-nucleotide ribosomal RNA is filed under the name uncultured bacterium. RNAcentral's name for it is "partial 16S ribosomal RNA". It matches the Rfam family "Bacterial small subunit ribosomal RNA", at positions 98 to 334 of the family's 1533-position model. The record is from RNAcentral.
CCGCACGGGUGAGUAACGCGUAUCCAACCUGCCCACCACUUGGGGAUAACCUUGCGAAAGUAAGACUAAUACCCAAUGAUAUCUCUAGAAGACAUCUGAAAGAGAUUAAAGAUUCAUCGGUGAUGGAUGGGGAUGCGUCUGAUUAGCUUGUUGGCAGGGUAACGGCCCACCAAGGCAACGAUCAGUAGGGGUUCUGAGAGGAAGGUCCCCCACAUUGGAACUGAGACACGGUCCAA